Molecule: ribosomal RNA, 369 nt
Filed under: uncultured Glomeromycotina
Lineage: Eukaryota; Fungi; Glomeromycota
Description: LSU rRNA
Source: RNAcentral
UUGAAAGGGAAACGAUUGAAGUCAGUCGUGCUGGCGCGAAAUCAACCUUCUCGUCUUGAGAUCACAUGGCGUGGCGAGCCUCAAAACCGUCACGAAGCGUGAACUCUUUGUGAAAUGGAGCACUUUCGUGUCCGCUGGUUAACAUCAAUUUCGAACGUCAUAAAAAGGCUGGAGGGAUGUGGCUCCUUCGGGGGUGUUAUAACCUUUAGCGGAAUGUGGUGUUCGGGAUUGAGGAUUGCAACGAAUACCUUUAGGGCUGUUCCACCUGGCUUCUCUUUGGUAUCCUGGUGACGACAGCUUGCUGACGUUGUUAGGAUUCGCCUUGAACAGUCUAGAGUGUGAGCAAACUUCGUUAAGGAUGUUGACGUA